Molecule: long non-coding RNA, 972 nt
Filed under: Nicotiana benthamiana
Lineage: Eukaryota; Viridiplantae; Streptophyta; Magnoliopsida; Solanales; Solanaceae
Description: long non-coding RNA (NBEN_LNC020052)
Source: RNAcentral
AUAUAAUCAGCACGACAACGAGGGUCUUGUUCCGGCCAAUACUUUCACCAAGCAAAAGAAUAAAAUGGUUAAUUUACAGAGAAAUAAGUUUAAGUUACAAGCUCUUUAUCAAGAUUCUGAAAAAGUGUCUAAGCAAAAGUAGACCAAAUCGAAGCCUGAACUACAUCUAUCGCUCGUCUUCAUGAUAGCAGACUUGUAUACUCUUGGCGAGGUUAACCAAAAUAUAUGUAUCACCUCCAAAAGAUUUGUUGAAAAAUGCACAUUGUUCUAGUCAACAUUCCUUCUACAAGUAAUCUUCACGAUAGCAGACUUGUAUACUCUUGGCGAGGUUAACCAAAAUAUAUGUAUCACCUCCAAAAGAUUUGUUGAAAAAUGCACACUGUUCUAGUCGAACAUUCCUUCUACAAGUAACCAUCUGCUCAUAAAAAUAGAAAUUUGUAAACUUUUCAUUUGUUUCAAAGCAAUUUCAAGCUAACCUCCCAAGAAUAGCAACAAAAUAUUGUAAGAGAGGGAGGGGAGGCAACAAAAAGGAAAGGAUUCUCUUCUUUUCUUAAACUUCUAUUUAGGAGUCGGAGUGCACCAACAAAACUUCUAACCCUAUCCAUUGCUAAUUUCAUAAAUAAAGCUCAACAAUUGUAAACCAUUCCUUCAAAACAUGGCCACCCAAACCCAAGGAGAAACAAGAUCUCGAUAUAGCGGGACAAGUUAGGUCAACAGAAUAGGUUAUCAAAAAAAAGAAAAAGAAAAAGUUAGCUAAACAGAGUAGUAUUUGUUGUAAAUUUACAACAUAGAAUAUGGAGAAAAUCAACUAUAAAUUGAAGCUAUUCAUCACAGUGCCAGACAAGUCAUGUGGGGGAAAAGAACUAAAGAAUGACGACUUGAACACAGUACAAGAACAUUCAGUGGAAAUUCUAAGAUUAUUAUGGGACGUAAUAGCAAAUUAAUUUGUUAAAGUAAGAUGCUUUAUCCUUA